GCCGCCAGCACACCGUCGGCGGCGGUCACCGACACCGGUGCAUCCACGGUGACACCGACCGCGCCGUCGGUCACCGACGCGGUGAGCUUCGGAACCAGCAGAUCGGCGAACGGCGUGCCCUUGUCCGCGAUGACCUUGAUCGGUGCGGGUCCGCGGCCGCUGCCGCAUGCGACGGCACCGAUCAUCACGGCGGUCAUCAUCAGCGCGGUUAACCAGGCUCUCCGAACCCUGGUCCUACCCGCCUGAGCUGCAAUCCCCACCUUUGGCAUGCCUUCCCUCACCUCCCCCACUGCGUCGUGACCGAGCUAGACUCGGCUGUAGUCUAGGUCCUGACUGGCCGCCACGCUGCGAUGCUGAUACCAAGUUCAGUGUGAGAUUUCACGCGAGAGCGCAAGGCCUGUUAAUGUGCCUUGGCUAGGUGAUCGAGG
This 428-nucleotide transfer RNA is filed under the name Mycobacterium canetti CIPT 140010059. Its description in RNAcentral is "Mycobacterium canettii CIPT 140010059 transfer RNA-Lys(CTT)". The record is from RNAcentral. Lineage: Bacteria; Bacillati; Actinomycetota; Actinomycetes; Mycobacteriales; Mycobacteriaceae.